UCAUUAAAUUGACAUGGUCUAUCUUUAGCCACGAUUUAGCUCUUAUUUGGACAGGCUACGUGUAGUCUGCUUUUAGCCCACCCGGCGAAAUAGAGGCAAUCAGUGGUCUUAUAGCAACGGCUUGGUUGUAGCCCUGUUUCAGACCAAAUAGGUUACAUGUAGUUUUCACCCAUGCAGCUGUUGAGAUGCGUGAUAUCAUAUAAUCAAAUGCAAGUAAACAUUUAAAUUAUCUUUAUUUUCGCUGUAACGUUCACUACAUUGACUUUCAUUUUAAUUUAAAACAAGAUGCAAUUACUAUUUUCAACCGCUAGAUGGCAGCUGUAGCCCUACUACACAUGACUACUGGCAACGCGAGACUUGAAAUUUAGACAUCAGGGACGGCCCUGGUAGACAUCAGAGUUGCCACAUCUCGCAAUAAAGACAUCUGCCAUUUUUAAACGAGGGAGACGUUACGACCUCGGCCUUUCAGCGAGCAACGGGCAAGAGUUUACUGCAAACACUGGAAGCAAAAAGACAUUUACUUUGGUCUUUUAUGGAUCCCAUUUACCCGAGAGACUGGCGCCAACCGAGAGACCCAUCUGAUGCUCUUCCUGUAUCAAGUAGCAGCGUAGAUGAAGAUCUAGAUUUGGAUGUAGCCAAACAAUUUAUUUUAUCAUUAUUUAUGUUUUUAUUGCCGCAUGUUGUUAAAAUUGUUUGUAUUUUCAUAUAUAUAUGAGAGGUUUUGUAUUUAUAAUAUUUUAGCAAUAAUUCCUUUAUAUUUUCAUCACGUUGUAUUAUCUUAAGUUGUCUACGUUGUAAUUCUUUUUCUUAAUAAAAUCUUUAUAUUUAA
Molecule: long non-coding RNA, 829 nt
Organism: Micropterus salmoides (largemouth bass)
Lineage: Eukaryota; Metazoa; Chordata; Actinopteri; Centrarchiformes; Centrarchidae
Exons: 2
Source: RefSeq, a predicted model, not a curated record